UGCCCCACGACGAGGUCUACUCCGACACCCCGAUCUGAGGUGCUUGGGUCAUCUGGGUCCGAGAAUUAUGUGCUCAAGUGACUACACUAGUUGGAGUGAUGCAGCGACAGAAGGAGCAAAUUAGGAAGCUUCAAGACUUGGUGUCGCAAUAGGUGGUGGCGGCGGCGACGGCACCUGCGAGCCAGGAACCGCCUGCGCCUUCAGCGCCGGUUCCUAAUGUUACUUGGGGAGCAAAUAUAGCGGUCGUACUGGUGACGACUCGCCACGUUCCGGCAAGUACUCAUCCGACGGCUACUGGAUCCUCGAUCCCCGAUCUAGCGGUGAUGGAGGCCGAGAGGGAGCGAGCACUUGUAGCUCUUACGACCUUUAAGAGGCUCAACCCUCCUACCUUCGAUUGGAAGGUAGUGGACCCAUGGGCUAUGGAGGCAUG
Molecule: long non-coding RNA, 430 nt
Filed under: Ananas comosus (pineapple)
Lineage: Eukaryota; Viridiplantae; Streptophyta; Magnoliopsida; Poales; Bromeliaceae
Description: long non-coding RNA (ACOM_LNC030585)
Source: RNAcentral